CGCAUGCGCAUAUGGCCUAACGUUCAGCCCCGGGGCAGCGGGACCGGACCGUUGGGCGGGAGAGUGUGAGGUGAUGAUAGCAUCGCAAUUGUAGUCAGGAGACUCCAAGUGAUCGGCGAUCAGCUAAACAACGAUUACGACCAUAAUGUGCAUUUCAUCCCACGUGCUCUUCUUGCCGUCAAUGAAUUUAUUCAGCCAGAAAAUGCCAUAUUUAUUGGCAAUAUGAUAAGGAAUCUGCUUGCAGUGACUGGACUCCCAGCUGUUCGAAUUCAACCACAGAGAUCCCUGUCAGUUUGGAGGUUGGUGAUCAGAGUGGGGAUCAUGCUUCUGGAAGAGUUGCUUUAUACAUAGGACAGUUACAACUCUCUGGUAUCACUAAAUUCACCAAGCAUGUACCUGAAAAGUGAAAUGAACACUUAUGAGUAAAACAUUUCAGGUUAAUUGUUAGUUUGUAAUUAAUUUGCAGUUAGUUACUCAAGCUUGAUACCAACCUGUGAAAAUCCUGGAAAAGUUACAUGACAUUUAAGGGCAGUAAACCUAGUAAUGAUUGUAUAUUCGUUGCAGUUUCUGCACUUUUUGUUGAAGUUGGGUGUGCCAGUAUUGGCCUUAUUAUUAUACUGAUAUGUGAUGCUGCAAUAAGUGACACCUAGCUGGCCUGUCAGUAUUUCCUUUGUUGAUGUGGAUUUACUGGAGUUUCCAUUGUGUACCGUUCAGUAGGGCCAGCAGGAGCAGAUUGGAUUAUCUUUUUGCUGUAUGAUUUAUCUGCUAUUGCAGAGGCACUGCAAGUAUAGUUUAACAAAAAGCAACGAUAGGUUAGUAACAUCAGAGUCCAUUUCUCAAUCCAACUGUUAAGAAUAAUUGUGCCCUGUGGUUAACAAAUUAUAAUGUUAGAAAUCAAAUAGAUUAACAUGGAAUUCUUGUGAAAUUGCAAUUGUAUUCUGGCUGAUUUAUCACUGUGACUUUCCUGCCUAAUUAUAUACUGUGUGUAAGGCAAUCUAUCUCAUCUACAGCACAAAAGUUGUAGAGUUCCCUUAUAUUUAAAGACUAAUUGACUGGGAUUCUACAGUUAUUUACAAUUUUCUCUUGCAAAUAUUCUACCUUUUGUAUGAUUACAUUAAUUUCCAAAAGGUUUGUAUUAAAUUUCUGGUUGAACCUUAAUGGUUUGCUCACUAUAAAUGAGCAUAUGGUUUGCUCAGUUCCUGGGACUGUAUAGGAAUGGGACAGUAAUCAAAGGGAACAAAGUAAAGAGGGAAAUUAUUUGGAAAGUUAAUUUCAAAAAUUAUUUGAGAAGUUAAUUUCAAUUAACGUUUUGACCAGAUGGUAUUUCGAGGAUUAGAGGAUGUGUAAUA
Molecule: long non-coding RNA, 1349 nt
Organism: Pristis pectinata (smalltooth sawfish)
Lineage: Eukaryota; Metazoa; Chordata; Chondrichthyes; Rhinopristiformes; Pristidae
Exons: 3
Source: RefSeq, a predicted model, not a curated record